CCAAAGGCUCUUUUCAGAGCCACUUCAUUUAACAAAGGAAAGGGCU
Non-coding RNA from Dipodomys ordii (Ord's kangaroo rat), 46 nucleotides. The record is from Rfam. NCBI's taxonomy places the organism in Eukaryota, Metazoa, Chordata, Mammalia, Rodentia, Heteromyidae.